Molecule: long non-coding RNA, 5255 nt
Organism: Loxodonta africana (African savanna elephant)
Lineage: Eukaryota; Metazoa; Chordata; Mammalia; Proboscidea; Elephantidae
Exons: 2
Source: RefSeq, a predicted model, not a curated record
AUACCGCCAACUUGGAGGGGUCGGUGCCAGGCCCCAGACUCACCGCGCGGCUUCGGCCAAGGCCUCAGCUGCCGCCGCCAGUGCCGGUACCGCAGCUUCAGACUCCCGACCCCACCACCCGCCUUCCCCGCUGUCCUCUAAGCCGGGCGGGAGAGAGGGUGGGCUCCCAGACCUAAGGACCAAUUGAAAGGCGAAGUAAGAAGAUUGGCUGGAAUAUAGACCAAUAGUAACGAAGGCGAAAUGACGCUUCAGGCCCGGCUUCUCCGGAGGGCGGGGACUGUUCAAAUAGACAAACCAUGCGGCCAGUGGCAGGAGAAAGGAGCCUACUGUCGGCUCUGGAGAGCCAAUCGGUGGUGAGUUCACAUCAGUCACUUCCAUGCACACUUCCGGUGUAUCGCUACUCUAAUUCCCCUCUGCACCUGGGAAGCGGCCAAGCCGAAUCCGCUCUCUGGGUACCGCGGGAUGGGAGGGAUAGGUGGUAGGCAGGUUCGAGAGAGGCUCGAGACCUCGCCCAGUGUAAUUAUGAAAGGAGCCUGUGGGCCUUGCCAAGGCCUUGUAAUUACUGGACGUUAAGUUUAAUAUCCAUUUGAAAAUGUUUUUAGUUAUACUUUCUCACUGCAAAAAAUUUUUGGCUCACAGGAUAAUUCCCAAGAGAUUACAGCCAAUUUUUAAUUCAAUAAGGUAUUGAUAAGUAAUUUUAAGGAGACUUGGUGGCGCAGUGGUUAAGAUCGGCAGUUCGAGUACACCAGCCCCUCCCUAGAAACCCUAUGGGGCAGUUCUACCCUGUCCUCUAGGGUCGCUGAGUCAGAAUUGACUCGAUGGCAAUGAGUUUAAAUACUUUUAAAAGCAAUAUUGUUUUUUUUAAUCCUCUAAACAAUAGCAAAAAAUGGAAUUUCAGUGCAUCUCUUCUUAUUAAAAAUUUCCAAAUAGGUCCUUGUGUGCUGCAAAUGGUUUGCCCUCCCAGCUGAAAGGUCGGUGGUUCGAACCCACCUAGUGGCAUUGAGGAAUAGAAGCCUGGUGAUCUGCUUCCAUAAAGAUUUCAGCCAAGAAGACACUAUGGAGCAGUUCUACUCUAACACAUGGGGGUCCCAUGAAUUGGAGUCCACUGGCAACACACCACAACAGCAACAAUAUGUAUCUUUCUAGAGUUUCUUUAUGCAAAUAAAGCAAAUAUGAAUUUACAUUUUCCUGUGUUUCUCCUUCCUUACACUGUAUACGCUGUUCUGCACUUUUUAAAUUUCAGUGUAUCUUGGAGGUCUUUCCACGGUAGAUAUAUAGAAAGCUUCUUUUUUAUAGCUGUUUGGUAUUCCAUUAUGCAGAUAUACCAUAAUUUGUUUUCGCAGUCCCCUGAUAAUAGACAUUUGCUUUGUUUCCAACUUUUUGCCAUUAAAAACAGUGCUUCAAUGUAUGCCCUUGUGCAUAUAUCAUUUUGUCCUGGGGCAGGUAUAUCAAGGCAAAUUCCCAGAAAUGGGGUUGCAGGGUCAGGGCAAAUUAAUGCGUAGCUCUCACAGAUAUUGUCAGAUUGCCCUCUAUAAGGGAGAUAUUGUUGUCACUCCCACCAACAAUAUAUGAGAUUUUUACCACCCUGAGAUGUGACAAGGAAACCCUGGUGGCGUAGUGGUUAAGUGCUACGGUUGCUAACCAAAGAGUCGGCAGUUCGAAUCUUCCAGGUGCUCCUUGGAAAUUCUAUGGGGCGGUUCUACUCUGUCCUAUAGGGUUGCUAUGAGUCGGAAUUGACUCGACGGCACUGGGUUUGGUUUUGGUUUUGGAAGAUGUGACAAAGCUCUGUUUUCUAAUUAACAAUUAAAGGUGGUUUAUAACAAUAGUAAUCAGCACAUUUGUAGGUCUGUUGCCUGGUGGCACAGUGGUUAAGAGCUUGGCUGCUAACCAAAAUGUCAGCAGCUCACAUCCACCAGCCACUCCUUGGAAACCCUAUGGGGCAGCUCUACUCUGUCCUAUAGGGUCACUAAGGGUCGGAAUUGACUCGAUGGCAAUGGUUCAUUUUGUUUUGUUUUUUCCUCAUUUUACAAAGACCUUUCUUACCCGUUUCAUUAAAAUCUCUCUAGUUGCCAUGGGGUUGAUUCUGACAGCGACCCCAUGUGUGUCAGAAUAGAACUGUGCUCCGUAAGGUUUUCAAUGGCUGAUUUUUUUUGGAAGUAGACCACCAGGCCUUUCCUCCGCGGUAACUCUGGAUGGACUUCAUCUGCCAACCUUUUGAUUAGCAACCUAGCAUGUUAACCAUUUGCAUCGCCCGAAAACUCGUUGCCGUCAAUAGGUUCUGACUCAUAGCAACCCUAUAGGACAGAGUAGAACACCCCCUCAGGGUGUCCAAAGAGCAGCUGAUUGAUUCACACUGUCGACCUUUUGGUUAGCAGCCGAGCUCUUAACCACUGCGCCACCACACACUUACUAACUGUAUGAACCUGGGCAAGUGCUUAAUCUCUAUGUACCUAUUUCCUUAUCUGUAAAACAGGAAUGAUAAUAGUACCUAUCUCAGUAGCCAGUGUUAUGGAGGUUAAAUGCUAGUACAUGUCAAGUACCUACAAAAGUAUCUGGCAGAUGUGAACAGUUAGCAAAUGCUGUGACUGUCAUAUUGUUUCCAUUUUAUACAUGAGUAAGUACUAAAGUACAGAGAAGUUGAGCCAUAGAGUUGAUAAGUGAUAGAGCCAGGUUUUUCGUAUCUCUGCGUCUUUGUCUUGUCUGAUUUGGCAGCACAGGACGCUCAGGCUCAGCCAGCUUCAAAAGUCUGUGCUCAGCAGGGAACUUGCAAAUAUUUAACAACCAGCUCUGGGGGUGGGCGGUGAUGUGUGCAUAUACAAGGCGAGCUUUUUGGGAGUGUGACCUGUGUAGUCAUAAUACUAUGCGGUCCCUGUCUUGAAAUUCUUCAUGAUUUUUGAACAAGGGCCCCACGUUUUUAUUUUGCAUUGAGCCACACAAAUUACGUAGUCAGUCCCGUGUACUUACCUAUUAUAUGUGUAUUAGAAACUUUACCAAUAUAAAGGGUGUGUAGCACACAAUUUACAAAUAAUAAUAAAAUAUAUGAUGUUUUUAUUGUAAAUUCCAUAUAGCUAAAUUGGUUUCACAGAAGGCCUUCACUGAUAUUGUGUAGCCUAUCUAUGGCUGCAGUUGAUCAAUGAGUAGUUUCAACAUGAAUGUUGGUUGAUAGUUUGACGUGUCGAGAGAUGUCAGAACUUUACUUGUCAGUGACUUCAGCGACCUCUUUGGUGAAUAGUUUUCAGAUACCGGAAGAAUAUUUCCUUAGAUUUUUGGUCCUACUCACAAUCUGAGGAGCCCUGAUGGUGUAAUGGUUAACCGCUUGCCUGUUGACCAAAAGGUCGGUGGUUCGAACCCAUUCAGUGGCUCUGAGAGAGAAAAGACCUGGCGAUCUGCUCCCAUAGAGAUUACAGCCUAGAAAACUCGAUGGGGCAGUUCUAGUCUGUCAUAUAGGGUCAGUGUGAACUGGAAUCGACUGGACGGCAUACAACAACAACCACAUUCACAGUGUAAUGGCUACAGAUUUCACAUACUUUUAAAUUUAAUCUGCAUUAUUAACAUUUUCUUUGUCACUUUAAAAAAAAAUUGUGCUUUAAGUGAAAGUUUACAAAUCAAGUCAGUCUCUCAUACAAAAACUUAGACACACCUUGCUAUGUAUUCCUAGCUGUUCACCCCCUAAUGAGACAGCACACUCCUCUUCUCCACCCUGUAUUCCCUGUGUCCGUUCAACCAGCUCCUGUUCCCCUCUGCCUUCACAUCUCGCCUCCAAACAGGAGUUGCCCACAUGAUCUCAUGUGUCUACUUGAGCCGAGAAGCUCACUCCUCACCAGUCUCAUUUUCUGUCUUACCGUCCAGUCCAAUCCCUGUCUGAAGAGUUGGCUUCAGGAAUGGUUCCAGUCUUGGGCUAACAAAGGGUCCAGGGACCAUGAUCUCUGGGGUCCCUCUUGUCUCAGUCAGACCACUAAGUCUGGUCUUUUUUAUGAGAAUUUGAGGUCUGCAUCUCAGUGUUCUCCUGCUCCAUCAAGGGUUCUCUGUUGUGUCCCCUGGCAGGGCAGUCAUCGGUGGUAGCUGGACACCACCUAGUUCUUCCAGUCUGAAGCUGAUGUUGCCUCUGAUUUAUGUGGCCCUUUCUGUCUUUUGGGCUCUUCUUUACCUUAUGUCUUUGGUGUUCUUCAUUCUCCUUUGCUCCAGGUGGGUUGAGACCAAUUGAUGUAUCUUAGAUGACCGCUUGCUAGUAUUUAAGACCCCCACCUUUGUCACUUUUUUGGGGCCCUGGCGGCGCAGUGGUUGAACAGUCAGCUGCUAAACAAAAGGUUGGCAUUUUAAGUCCACCAGCUGCUCCUUGGAAACCCUGUGGGGCAGUUCUACUCUGUCCCAUAGGGUCACUAGGAGUUGCAAUGGUUUUUUUUGUUUGUUUGUUUUGGUUGGUCAUUUUUUUAAAGUCUAGAUAGUCAACAAAAUAAUUAUUAAACAUUCAUUGAUUUGUACGGUGUAAAUACUUCUACCACAGCAUAAUUCAAGCUACCAAUGGAUGUCACUUAGGGGGGCGGAGAUGUGCAGUAGCCCACCAUUAUUCUGUAUUUCCAUCGUGUAGCUACGAUAGAUGUAAAUAGCCUGAGGAACAUAAACGGUAAAAUGUAGUAAAAUAAGCAGGAAGUGACAAGUUGUAUUUGUUACCUUUGUUUUUAAGAAUUUAUUUAAUUGUAAGUUUGUAUAAUUUAAUUUUUAAUAAUGGUUCUGCUUAAUGACCCCAUUACAGAAUUUCUGGAAAUUUAACAAUUAGCUCUCUCCAGCCGGAAGGAACCACAGAUAGGGACCACAAGCUCCCAAAAGGCGGGGCAAUGAAGACAGAACUAGACGCUUGCUGGGAGAAGGGAGGAGGGCAAUUAUUUUCAUGAAGAAAUAAAUACACUAGAAAAUGAAGGUAUAAAAAAAGGCAGGCAGAGCAGCAUAUGGUAUGUCAAUUGCACAAUAAAAAGAAGGAAUUAUUGCUGUUGCGAUCACAGUACGGUAUUACUAAACCAACCCCGUUGCGGUCAAGUCGAUUCUGAUUCAUAGUGACCCACGCAUAGGAUUUCCAAGGCUGUAAGUCUCUAAGGGUAAACCCUGGUGGCGUUAGUGGUUAAGUGCUAUGGCUGCUAACCAAGAGGUCGGCAGUUCGAGUGCACCAGGCGCUCCUUGGAAACUUUAUCGGGCAAUUCUAUUCUGUCCUAUAGGGUCGCUAUGAGUCGGAAUCGACUCGACAGCAGCGGGUUUGGUUU